AUUGAACGCUGGCGGCAUGCUUUACACAUGCGAGUCGAACGGCAGCGCGGGCUUUGGCCUGGCGGCGAGUGGCGAACGGGUGAGUAAUACAUCGGAACGUGCCCAGUAGUGGGGGGUAGCUCGGCGAAAGCCGGAUUAAUACCGCAUACGACCUGAGGGUGAAAGCGGGGGAUCUUCGGACCUCGCGCUAUUGGAGCGGCCGAUGGCAGAUUAGCUAGUUGGUGGGGUAAAGGCCUACCAAGGCGACGAUCUGUAGCUGGUCUGAGAGGACGACCAGCCACACUGGGACUGAGACACGGCCCAGACUCCUACGGGAGGCAGCAGUGGGGAAUUUUGGACAAUGGGCGAAAGCCUGAUCCAGCAAUGCCGCGUGUGUGAUGAAGGCCUUCGGGUUGUAAAGCACUUUUGGCGGGAACGAAAAGGACUGUGCCAAUACCACGGUUCGAUGACGGUACCCGCAGAAUAAGCACCGGCUAACUACGUG
This 484-nucleotide ribosomal RNA is filed under the name uncultured bacterium. RNAcentral describes it as "partial 16S ribosomal RNA". It matches the Rfam family "Bacterial small subunit ribosomal RNA", at positions 29 to 507 of the family's 1533-position model. The record is from RNAcentral.